Molecule: ribosomal RNA, 405 nt
Filed under: uncultured bacterium
Lineage: Bacteria
Description: bacterial SSU rRNA
Rfam family: Bacterial small subunit ribosomal RNA
Source: RNAcentral
GGGGAAUAUUGCACAAUGGGCGCAAGCCUGAUGCAGCGACGCCGCGUGGGGGAUGACGGCCUUCGGGUUGUAAACCUCUUUCAGUCACGACGAAGCGUAAGUGACGGUAGUGACAGAAGAAGCACCGGCCAACUACGUGCCAGCAGCCGCGGUAAUACGUAGGGUGCGAGCGUUGUCCGGAAUUACUGGGCGUAAAGAGCUCGUAGGUGGUUUGUCGCGUUGUCCGUGAAAACUCACAGCUUAACUGUGGGCGUGCGGGCGAUACGGGCAGACUGGAGUACUGCAGGGGAGACUGGAAUUCCUGGUGUAGCGGUGGAAUGCGCAGAUAUCAGGAGGAACACCGGUGGCGAAGGCGGGUCUCUGGGCAGUAACUGACGCUGAGGAGCGAAAGCGUGGGGAGCGAAC